GACGAACGCUGGCGGCGUGCCUAAUACAUGCAAGUAGAACGCACAGUUUAUACCGUAGCUUGCUACACCAUAAACUGUGAGUUGCGAACGGGUGAGUAACGCGUAGGUAACCUGCCUGGUAGCGGGGGAUAACUAUUGGAAACGAUAGCUAAUACCGCAUAAUAUUGAUUAUUGCAUGAUAAUUGAUUGAAAGAUGCUAUUGCAUCACUACCAGAUGGACCUGCGUUGUAUUAGCUAGUAGGUGAGGUAACGGCUCACCUAGGCGACGAUACAUAGCCGACCUGAGAGGGUGAUCGGCCACACUGGGACUGAGACACGGCCCAGACCCCUACGGGAGGCAGCAGUAGGGAAUCUUCGGCAAGGGACGAAAGUCUGACCGAGCAACGCCGCGUGAGUGAAGAAGGGUGUCGGAUCGUAAAGCUCUGUUGUAAGAGAAGAACGGGUGUGAGAGUGGAAAGUUCACACUGUGACGGUAUCUUACCAGAAAGGGACGGCUAACUACGUG
RNAcentral lists this ribosomal RNA (505 nucleotides) under uncultured bacterium. RNAcentral describes it as "partial 16S ribosomal RNA". It matches the Rfam family "Bacterial small subunit ribosomal RNA", at positions 28 to 507 of the family's 1533-position model. The record is from RNAcentral.